GGGCCGCACGCCACCGGUGUGCGGGGCUGCCUGGCGUGCAGCCCGUGAACAGUUCGACUCUGUUGCGGUCCACCA
Molecule: transfer RNA, 75 nt
Filed under: Rhizocola hellebori
Lineage: Bacteria; Bacillati; Actinomycetota; Actinomycetes; Micromonosporales; Micromonosporaceae
Description: tRNA-Ala
Source: RNAcentral